UGGUUGGUUAAAAAAGUACUUUUAAAGCCGUAUGAGUCGUAAGAGAAAUUUGAAAAGAUCGCUGGAUAAAAAAUUCAUGCUAGACGCUGAUAGGCCUAAGAUUACCGAACCACAGAAACUGCAUAGUACUAUAUAACACAUUUCCUUAAAGCUUCGGGUUUUAGACCUAUUAAGGAAAAGUGUAUCACUAACAUGAUAAACUUCAUAAUACAAUAAGGAUAUAUUUGUUUGAAAAAUGUUGAUGUGGGUUGGAGCGAGUUGUAACUUAUUGCGCAUCUGGAAUAUCUUUUGUUUACCCAUAUUUCAGUGUCGCACGGUUAGCGGGAGAAGGCGAACUGCCGUAAAAUUUUCUAACCACUCUGGUACUGCCUAUUGUGUUGAGUGGUGUUGGCUGGUGGUGACAGGUGUUAUUCUUAUGGAUGUAAACACAAGAAUGAAGUCAGUGACAUGUAAGGCCGGCAAGUGAUGGGAUAUUGGUGUUUGGCAAUCUCCUACUGGGGUUCAAGGCCUAUGAUAGUGAGGCCAUUGAAGUUGAAACCUAUAGUUUGCAAUAAAAACUGUUACUACUUAUGGUCCAUCCUUGAACAUCCCAGUACAUUUCAACUUCAACCGCCAUGGGUGUGCAAGAGGAACUCGUCGCCCUGAAGAGGAAGAGGGCAAUCAACAAAGGGAAGUUCACCAGGAAGUGUCGCACGGUUAGCGGGAGAAGGCGAACUGCCGUAAAAUUUUCUAACCACUCUGGUACUGCCUAUUGUGUUGAGUGGUGGUGGCUGGUGGUGACAGGUGUUAUUCUUAUGGAUGUAAACACAAGAAUGAAGUCAGUGACAUGUAAGGCCGGCAAGUGAUGGGAUAUUGGUGUUUGGCAAUCUCCUACUGGGGUUCAAGGCCUAUGAUAGUGAGGCCAUUGAAGUGAGUGCAAUACAGUGUAUUAUGGAUGUUGUAUGAUAUUUCAAUUGGAAUUGCCCUUAUUGGUAAUUGGAUUCUAUGUAUAUAUACAGUAAUGCUUUAUGAUAUGAGUACAUUUAAUUUGAUGCCAAGUGCUUUAGUGGCUACAGUACCAUAAUUUACAGUGUUAUUUACUUACAUUGCUAUAAACAGUUAUUGUUAGACAUACACAUAUCAAUACUGGAUUGUUCAUGUACUUUGCUAGAAGGCUUGUAUUAAGGACAAAUAUUUUUUUUGAUAAUGAAAUUGGGAAAAUUAGGGAAAAUUCAAAAUUUGUAUGGCUGGUUGGAUUGUAUU
Long non-coding RNA from Macrobrachium nipponense, 1242 nucleotides. RefSeq lists it as uncharacterized. The transcript is spliced from 3 exons. NCBI's taxonomy places the organism in Eukaryota, Metazoa, Arthropoda, Malacostraca, Decapoda, Palaemonidae. The record is from RefSeq and is a predicted model, not a curated record.